Capsicum annuum is the source of this 576-nucleotide long non-coding RNA. RefSeq lists it as uncharacterized. The record is from RefSeq and is a predicted model, not a curated record. The transcript has 3 exons. NCBI's taxonomy places the organism in Eukaryota, Viridiplantae, Streptophyta, Magnoliopsida, Solanales, Solanaceae.
GUUCUUCCUUCCCACUGCUUAAUAAUAUUCGGCAAACAUUUUCUACUGAGAAAACUAUGAGUAGCAAAGCCUUCAAACAGCAAAGUUAUUGUGAACAAUCAUCGAUUAAAUUUGUAGUAUUACCCUUUUCAGUGGUCAGGACAUUAGAUCAGAGUGUGGGAGAGUUUACCAUGGCCUACUUGGAGAAAUCAAAGAGUGAGCUACCUUGGACCUCCGAUCCCAACACAGAAAUUUUUUCCUUCCACGAAUGCAUCAAGCAUUGGGCAAUCUUAUAUCAGUGUUAAAUCAACAGAUGAGAAUCCAGGGGGGUAUACUGCAGAAGUUACAGGUCUUUCUCCUAAUGCUACUGAGAAGGAUGUUCAGGAGUUCUUUGAUUUCUGUGGGGCAAUUGAACAUGUUGAGAUUGCCAGGUGGGUUUGGGUUUCUUGUGUUUCAAUUCCUCCCAAUUUCCUUAAAGUUCAAACCCACCCCUCAAUUUUGGUGUACAUACAAUAUAAAUGGUUAUCUUUUGCAAUGUAGUUAGGUAAUAUGAGCGAUAAACAAGUUUGGCUAUUAUCCUGUUUCUUUUUUUGAUCU